RNAcentral lists this long non-coding RNA (266 nucleotides) under Homo sapiens (human). RNAcentral describes it as "non-protein coding lnc-NEU2-3:1". Lineage: Eukaryota; Metazoa; Chordata; Mammalia; Primates; Hominidae. The record is from RNAcentral.
AAGGGGCAGCACGCCUCACAGGGGUUGGAGGGACAGGGUGGUGUGGAGACCAGGGCGGGGUCCUGAGGUGACACAGGCCUCUGCAGUGAAACUGUCAAAGUGAAGUGAAGCUGGCAUCCAAGCCAGAACCCCCGGGCACCUUUGGGAAUAUGCACCCUCCUUGGGCCUACAGUGGAGAUUUCUAGAACACAGAAAUAUCCACCGUAGAUUUCUGCUCACGGCACCAGUCGACUCCCUAUUCUCCCUCAGAAAGGGCUCUGGCGAAG